GCUUUUAUAAUUUAAAUAAAAAUAUUGAUUUUGUAAAUCAAAAAUACUAUUAGUUUAAAGCA
This 62-nucleotide transfer RNA is filed under the name Mycopsylla fici. RNAcentral describes it as "tRNA-Thr". Lineage: Eukaryota; Metazoa; Arthropoda; Insecta; Hemiptera; Carsidaridae. The record is from RNAcentral.